AUUGAACGCUGGCGGCAUGCCUUACACAUGCAAGUCGAACGGCAGCAUGGAGAGCUUGCUCUUUGAUGGCGAGUGGCGAACGGGUGAGUAAUGCAUCGGAACGUACCGUGUAAUGGGGGAUAACGUAGCGAAAGUUACGCUAAUACCGCAUACGACCUGAGGGUGAAAGCAGGGGAUCGCAAGACCUUGCGUUAUACGAGCGGCCGAUGUCAGAUUAGCUAGUUGGUGAGGUAAAGGCUCACCAAGGCGACGAUCUGUAGCGGGUCUGAGAGGAUGAUCCGCCACACUGGGACUGAGACACGGCCCAGACUCCUACGGGAGGCAGCAGUGGGGAAUUUUGGACAAUGGGGGCAACCCUGAUCCAGCCAUGCCGCGUGAGUGAAGAAGGCCUUCGGGUUGUAAAGCUCUUUCGGCCGGGAAGAAAUCGCACAGGCUAAUACUCUGUGUGGAUGACGGUACCGGCAUAAGAAGCACCGGCUAACUACGUGCCAGCCGCCGCGGUAA
Molecule: ribosomal RNA, 504 nt
Filed under: uncultured bacterium
Lineage: Bacteria
Description: partial 16S ribosomal RNA
Rfam family: Bacterial small subunit ribosomal RNA
Source: RNAcentral